Molecule: ribosomal RNA, 373 nt
Filed under: uncultured bacterium
Lineage: Bacteria
Description: bacterial SSU rRNA
Rfam family: Bacterial small subunit ribosomal RNA
Source: RNAcentral
UAAUACGUAGGUGGCAAGCGUUGUCCGGAUUUACUGGGCGUAAAGCGAACGCAGGCGGGCCUUUAAGUAGGAAGUGAAAGGUUGGAGCUCAACUCUAACACUGCUCCCUAUACUGGAGGCCUUGAGUUUCGGAGAGGAAGACGGAACUGCAGGUGUAGCGGUGAAAUGCGUUGAUAUCUGCAGGAACACCAAUGGCGAAAGCAGUCUUCUGGACGAAUACUGACGCUCAGGUUCGAAAGCCAAGGUAGCAAACAGGAUUAGAUACCCUGGUAGUCUUGGCCUUAAACGAUGCUCACUAGGUGUUGGGGGGCAACCCUCGGUGCCGCAGCUAACGCAUUAAGUGAGCCGCCUGGGGACUACGGCCGCAAGGUUG